This 250-nucleotide unclassified non-coding RNA is filed under the name plant metagenome. Its description in RNAcentral is "partial contains small subunit ribosomal RNA, internal transcribed spacer 1, and 5.8S ribosomal RNA". The record is from RNAcentral.
GUAGGUGAACCUGCGGAAGGAUCAUUAGCACGUCUUAUAUUAUCCAAUAUAUAAACCAACGCGAACUAAACCCCCGGCCCUAUCAUCUCUAAGCUGGUUUGCCUGAUCACAUUUCGGGGUCUGACUUAACGGUCAUUCUACUGUCAUGUUCUCGUCAAAUUGGUUGAUGUUAGGCUAUUUUUCAAUUAUUAUAAACCAUUAUAACCAGAAUUGAUCUAAAUACUAAGGCAUUCUAGUCUUCAUUCAGUGG